UUCCAGAGAUGGAUUGGUGCCUUCGGGAACUGUGAGACAGGUGCUGCAUGGCUGUCGUCAGCUCGUGUUGUGAAAUGUUGGGUUAAGUCCCGCAACGAGCGCAACCCUUAUCCUUUGUUGCCAGCGGUCCGGCCGGGAACUCAAAGGAGACUGCCAGUGAUAAACUGGAGGAAGGUGGGGAUGACGUCAAGUCAUCAUGGCCCUUACGACCAGGGCUACACACGUGCUACAAUGGCGCAUACAAAGAGAAGCGACCUCGCGAGAGCAAGCGGACCUCAUAAAGUGCGUCGUAGUCCGGAUUGGAGUCUGCAACUCGACUCCAUGAAGUCGGAAUCGCUAGUAAUCGUGGAUCAGAAUGCCACGGUGAAUACGUUCCCGGGCCUUGUACACACCGCCCGUCACACCAUGGGAGUGGGUUGCAAAAGAAGUAGGUAGCUUAACCUUCGGGAGGGCGCUUACCACUUUGUGAUUCAUGACUGGGGUGAAGUCGUAACAAGGUAACCGUAGGGGAACCUGCGGUUGGAUCACCUCCUUACCUGAAAGAA
This 545-nucleotide ribosomal RNA is filed under the name Salmonella enterica subsp. enterica serovar Javiana. RNAcentral describes it as "bacterial SSU rRNA". It matches the Rfam family "Bacterial small subunit ribosomal RNA", at positions 998 to 1533 of the family's 1533-position model. The record is from RNAcentral. Lineage: Bacteria; Pseudomonadati; Pseudomonadota; Gammaproteobacteria; Enterobacterales; Enterobacteriaceae.